UAAAGUCGUUUGUUUGUUUCAGAUUAUAACAACUACGGCGACAGCGACAAAUGUAGUAGCUGAUAUAUCUGGGUUCCUUAGAAUUCAUCUGUGCUUGGGAGGGAAGGAAGUACCAAUUCGAAUAAACCACUCUGAUGCCAAAUCAAAAUAUAUUUAGAAUAUCAACAACUAUGCAACAGCAACAAAUACGUUCCCACUACCAUCGGUUUUUCGCACCGGAACGACUUGGAGUUCAACGAAAACGACUAAGGAUUGUCAACUCAACCACACAGACUUUGUACGUAUCGCUGCUUCAACAACAUCAACAUUAAAGUGGCUGAAAUAUCUGGGUGAGUGCAAAUUUGUUUUAAAAUAAGAACAGUAGAUCGUGACUGGACAGAUAGUUUAUAUAAUUAAGCUAGGACUCGAUAAUAUCAUAUUUCAAUAAUUCAUAGUGAAUUCGCUCGUAAUUUCAAAUAAAAGUAAAUUUCUUUACUGCGUAUUAUUACCCCCGAAAUAAAAUAAAUUUUCUUUAGAGUAGUUAUGGAUUAUGUCAUUGUCAAAAAUUAUGUUUCUGUACCAAUCAUUUGUAUCAUACCCAGUGAGAAUUUGCUUUAGGAAUGAACAAACACAUAUUUGAUUUCAAAUAUGUAUUGUACAAUCAUUUAUCUUUGGUUUCAACUUUCUGUAAGAUCGGACUCAGAAAAUGUUACUACCCUUGGUGACUAAUAACCCCUAGCUUUUGAUGGCACGGUUCCGUAAAGUGUAACGGGGUUGCACCUUCUAAUAGGGUAGUGACGGUUACACAUGUAACCAGCUUAGAAACGUAAGAUUAUAGUUGAACCAAACAAAUGAUUAUUCAUUCUUGAAGCUAUGAUUUCCACUGGUCUAUUACAUACUGAAUGACAUGUACAGAUAUUAUUAUUGCUCAGGAUAUACCCUUAACCCAAUGACUUGUUUUCCAAUAUAUUUAAUUUUUUGCAUUUCAUAUUAUGUUUUUACACAUUUAAAAUAAUUUUUCUUUCAAUCUAACUGAUGUUUCUGUACCAUCAAUCAUUUGUAUA
Molecule: long non-coding RNA, 1043 nt
Organism: Lucilia cuprina (Australian sheep blowfly)
Lineage: Eukaryota; Metazoa; Arthropoda; Insecta; Diptera; Calliphoridae
Exons: 3
Source: RefSeq, a predicted model, not a curated record